This 264-nucleotide ribosomal RNA is filed under the name uncultured bacterium. Its description in RNAcentral is "partial 16S ribosomal RNA". It matches the Rfam family "Bacterial small subunit ribosomal RNA", at positions 793 to 1055 of the family's 1533-position model. The record is from RNAcentral.
GUCCACGCUGUAAACGAUGGAUACUUGUUGUUAGAGGUAUUGACCCCUCUAGUGACGCAGCUAACGCGUUAAGUAUCCCGCCUGGGGAGUACGGUAGCAAGAUUAAAACUCAAAGAAAUUGACGGGGGCCCGCACAAGCGGUGGAGCAUGUGGUUUAAUUCGAUGCAACGCGAAGAACCUUACCCGGGCUUGACAUGAACUGGAAGAGUGGCAGAGAUGUCCUCGCUCGCAAGAGUCGGUUCACAGGUGCUGCAUGGCUGUCGU